AUUGAACGCUGGCGGCAGGCCUAACACAUGCAAGUCGAGCGGAUGAAGGGAGCUUGCUCCUGGAUUCAGCGGCGGACGGGUGAGUAAUGCCUAGGAAUCUGCCUGGUAGUGGGGGAUAACGUCCGGAAACGGGCGCUAAUACCGCAUACGUCCUGAGGGAGAAAGUGGGGGAUCUUCGGACCUCACGCUAUCAGAUGAGCCUAGGUCGGAUUAGCUAGUUGGUGGGGUAAAGGCCUACCAAGGCGACGAUCCGUAACUGGUCUGAGAGGAUGAUCAGUCACACUGGAACUGAGACACGGUCCAGACUCCUACGGGAGGCAGCAGUGGGGAAUAUUGACAAUGGGCGAAAGCCUGAUCCGGCCAUGCCGCGUGUGUGAAGAAGGUCUUCGGAUUGUAAAGCACUUUAAGUUGGGAGGAAGGGCAGUAAGUUAAUACCUUGCUGUUUUGACGUUACCAACAGAAUAAGCACCGGCUAACUUCGUG
Molecule: ribosomal RNA, 483 nt
Filed under: uncultured bacterium
Lineage: Bacteria
Description: partial 16S ribosomal RNA
Rfam family: Bacterial small subunit ribosomal RNA
Source: RNAcentral